Molecule: non-coding RNA, 78 nt
Organism: Podarcis lilfordi (Lilford's wall lizard)
Lineage: Eukaryota; Metazoa; Chordata; Lepidosauria; Squamata; Lacertidae
Source: the annotation of a GenBank genome assembly
UCCAGUGGUGGCGUAGUGGUUAGAGUGUCGGACUAGGACUUAGGAGACCAGGGUUCAAAUCCCCACUCAGCCAUGAAG